GAAAGGGCCAUAAGAACUGCUAACUCACAAACCUGAUACUAUCCUUCAGACUUUC
This 55-nucleotide transfer RNA is filed under the name Brookesia ebenaui. RNAcentral's name for it is "tRNA-Ser". The record is from RNAcentral. Lineage: Eukaryota; Metazoa; Chordata; Lepidosauria; Squamata; Chamaeleonidae.